GUGGGUUGGCCCUCCUAACUAAGGCUCAUCACCGAUCGCGGAGGUGGCCGCGGCCGAUGAGGCGGCAGGCGGCGGGACUCCGAAGGGCGCGGCAGGCGGCGGGACUCCGAAGGGCGAAAGGAGAGAUCAGAGAGAUCCUUCGGGCCGGGCCCUGCGCGAUGUGGCGUGAAAGCACUAAAAAAU
RNAcentral lists this ribosomal RNA (183 nucleotides) under Chrysoculter rhomboideus. RNAcentral's name for it is "partial Archaeal small subunit ribosomal RNA". The record is from RNAcentral. Lineage: Eukaryota; Haptophyta.